UACGAAGGGGGCUAGCGUUGCUCGGAAUUACUGGGCGUAAAGCGCACGUAGGCGGACUCUUAAGUCGGUGGUGAAAUCCUGGAGCUCAACUCCAGAACUGCCUUCGAUACUGGGAGUCUUGAGUUCGGGAGAGGUGAGUGGAACUGCGAGUGUAGAGGUGAAAUUCGUAGAUAUUCGCAAGAACACCAGUGGCGAAGGCGGCUCACUGGCCCGAUACUGACGCUGAGGUGCGAAAGCGUGGGGAGCAAACAGG
Molecule: ribosomal RNA, 253 nt
Filed under: uncultured bacterium
Lineage: Bacteria
Description: partial 16S ribosomal RNA
Rfam family: Bacterial small subunit ribosomal RNA
Source: RNAcentral